Molecule: ribosomal RNA, 458 nt
Filed under: uncultured bacterium
Lineage: Bacteria
Description: partial 16S ribosomal RNA
Rfam family: Bacterial small subunit ribosomal RNA
Source: RNAcentral
CCUACGGGUGGCAGCAGUGGGGAAUAUUGCACAAUGGGGGAAACCCUGAUGCAGCGACGCCGCGUGAGUGAAGAAGUAUUUCGGUACGUAAAGCUCUAUCAGCAGGGAAGAAAAACCGGCCUUAGGGCCGCCAGACGGUACCUGACUAAGAAGCCCCGGCUAACUACGUUCCAGGAGCCGCGGGAAUACGUAGGGGGCAAGCGUUAUCCGGAUUUACUGGGUGUAAAGGGAGCGUAGGCGGCAGCGCAAGGCUGGAGGGAAAUGCCGGGGGCCAACCCCGGAACUGCUUUGGAAACUGUGCAGCUGGAGUGCAGGAGAGGUGAGCGGAAUUCCUAGUGUAGCGGUGAAAUGCGUAGAUAUUAGGAGGAACACCAGUGGCGAAGGCGGCUUACUGGACUGUAACUGACGUUGAGGCUCGAAAGCGUGGGGAGCAAACAGGAUUAGAUACCCGAGUAGUC